Molecule: ribosomal RNA, 301 nt
Filed under: uncultured bacterium
Lineage: Bacteria
Description: partial 16S ribosomal RNA
Rfam family: Bacterial small subunit ribosomal RNA
Source: RNAcentral
CAGUAGCCGCGGGAAUACGUAGGUGGCAAGCGUUGUCCGGAAUUAUUGGGCGUAAAGGGCUCGCAGGCGGUUUCUUAAGUCUGAUGUGAAAGCCCCCGGCCCAACCGGGGAGGGUCAUUGGAAACUGGGAAACUUGAGUGCAGAAGAGGAGAGUGGAAUUCCACGUGUAGCGGUGAAAUGCGUAGAGAUGUGGAGGAACACCAGUGGCGAAGGCGACUCUCUGGUCUGUAACUGACGCUGAGGAGCGAAAGCGUGGGGAGCGAACAGGAUUAGAUACCCGCGUAGUCCCUGUCUCUUAUAC